Biomphalaria pfeifferi is the source of this 289-nucleotide non-coding RNA. Lineage: Eukaryota; Metazoa; Mollusca; Gastropoda; Planorbidae. The record is from the annotation of a GenBank genome assembly.
AUUCUACAGGGGGGUCACAAAAAAUGCAUUCACUCAAAAACAGUGACUUUGUAUUUUUUUUUAAUGUAAAAUCGUGUUUACCAUGCAUCAUUAAAAUGCUUUUUUUCAACAACAAAAAAUGCAAUGUUUUAGAAAAUUUUUGGUGCCAGUUUAUAAAAUUCAUGUCCAACUAUUAAGUUACACCAAAAUUGAAAAAUCAUUUUUUUUUACCCAAAAUCGACUUUUUCACACUCCAGUAACUCCUGUGUGUGAUAGCGUGCAAACUUACCACAAUUCCGCGUCCUAAGAU